Panthera uncia (snow leopard) is the source of this 3337-nucleotide long non-coding RNA. RefSeq lists it as uncharacterized. The record is from RefSeq and is a predicted model, not a curated record. The transcript is spliced from 3 exons. Lineage: Eukaryota; Metazoa; Chordata; Mammalia; Carnivora; Felidae.
AAUCACCCUUGAAUAAAGGCAGUAGGAAGGCAUCCUGGGCCUGAGGCAGUCUGAACAGGUCAUAGGAGAAGGCGCCCUACCCGCCUGUUUCCGGACUUCAGCUGUACACGGUCAUCUAAGGCGUACGCAUUCCUUCUAAGACCAUGGUUCUUAUAGCCUGAGAACUGCAUCAUUCUGAACUGGGGGCUUUGGAGAGCAAUCCCUCUGUGCGAUCUCACCACCCUCGGGAGAGAAGAAACUGGACAGGACGGCAGGCCCGGGGAGGCCCAGUGACCUGUGGACGGUCCGGGGCCUGCAGUCCUCACACACAUCUGACAUGUUCCCUGCUGCAUCCUGGGAGGCGUGAGCUCCCCUAGACGUCUGCUUGUCGAAUGAGGCGGGAGACCUAGGCCUGUCAAGGAGACAUGGGUCAGCACGAGAGAGAAGCCGGGUACAGAUGUGACGUAGGGGGCCGGUUGGGUAUGGGUCACCGGGGCCCCCCAAGAGCCUUGAGCUGGAUGCCCACUGUCUUCUGAGCACCUACAGCUCCAGCCCGGGCCCUGGGGCAUCAUGCUAAACAAGCAGACAGCACGGAGAGCCCCACGUCUGAGAAGGACAAUUCUGCCGUUGACGAGGUUUUGAUAAGAGACAACCGGGAAGGCGGUGUGGCCAGUGGUCAGGGACACCUGGGGAGGCAGCCUGCAUGGAAAGUGGGUGACCCUGCAUAACGUGCAAACAGCUGAAGGCCUGCAAAGAAACAGACAGACUGUUUGCUGAAGAAGAAGCAACGUGGAGAUCCUGCCUGAGAUCCCAGCCUGCUGGCCUGCUCUGCAUAAUUUCGACUCGUCAGCCCCAACAACUGCGGGAGCCAGUUCUUUAAAGCCCACCUCUCUGCCUGUAUACGUAUGUGUCGUGUCAGUUUGGCUUCUGCGGGGAGCCCUGGAUGACACAACUGCACCCUUUGAAGUGGUUCCAGUUGCGCCAGUAGAUACUGUGACCUUCCUUGCCUGACACCAGGUCCUUCAUAGCAAACAGGCACCAGUUCCGGGUCCAUCAACGCAGUCCUGCGUGGCCUGUACAAUGUGGACGCAACCAGGCGAGGAGAAAACAUCAGGACAUAUUCAGUCUCUGCAGCAGGAGUGAGACCCGGGCCCUGUACUCUCAGUCUCCGCAGCAGGGACCUGGGUGGUACCCUCAUGGCCACGACCAAGUUCGGCGUGAGGCACUGUUGUCCCCGAGCUCCCGGGCGCUCCUUUAGAGAUGGGCUAGAAGGACAUUCGAGGGCGACACCUGUGCCUGUCACUAAGCCACUUGGAGGAGGGAUGUCUGCUCCUGGAUUCUUCACUGUAUUCCCAGUGGUAGGGUUUUUAAGGAAGUUCCAGGGCUUACUUUCUCUCAUUGAACCUGAAAAUCUCCACCCCCUCCCCCCCCUCCCCCGCUGCCUUUUAUGUGAAAUGGAUGUUGGAUGAAGGGACCACUAGGCCAUCUGAGUUUAGACUGUCCACUGCGUGGUCCUGUCCCACUGCUGAGGGGAGGAAGGGAAGGAGACCAGGAGGGGAUCCCGGAAAGUGCCCUGCAUUCUCAGGAUGGAUUGGGAUCUUACCUCCAUGUCCAUCUUUGUCACAGGCGAAACCCUCACUGCCCUCAUUGUCAAGCUCUGUGAUUAGGUCUGUGUAGCCCCUUUGAUCGGUGUUGUAGCUGUUUACAACCUGGGCAAAGCAUGGCCUCCCGCAGCUCCCAGCCCUGAAGCACCUGCAGCAUGGCAGGAAGAGGAAAAAUGAUUUUAUUGGAAUCUUCACGGUUUCAAUGGCAGUUCUCCUUGGGGAGGGCCCGAUGGGAUCCCGAACCCUCCUGGAAACACCACCACCUACCACUGGCCGGGGGGCCUCGUCCUUUCUGAAUUUAUUGGCUUCGGCAAGUCAGGUAUGCUCCCGGUGGCACCAGCAUCAACAGCGAGGAGAGGGCUCAGCAUCUUCUGAGUCUUUGUCACCAAGAACUGAAUUCUUGACAGGCAUGCUACUUCAGAGUGAGUCCCAUGAUUUCCAGACAGCAGGAGGCCAGAGGCCUCUUGCCCCCGGCCACCUGUGACCCAGGUGUCCCCACCUGUGGCCGCCUGCAUGAGCCUCAGGAGUUGGCACAAGCGUCCUGUGGCAUGAAUCGCCCCGUGAGCGGAGGCAGGGCCCAGGCAAGGGCUGGAGCUGCACAGAGGCUGGGGGUCCCUGGGGAGCCCCUGGGGGGAUCCCCCCUUGCCUGGAAAUCGAUCAGGCUCACCCUCUGCCAGCUGCACUGAGUCAGAGCCCUCCCGCCCCGUGGCCUGCGGCCCUCGGCCGUUCAGCUCCUGGAACAGCUGAGCUCUGGCCCCGGCCCAGCAUCCUGCGGGCCCCGUGGAAGCUGCCCCUGCCCACAGAUGUCCAGACACCUGCUCCAGCGGAGGGAUGGCUCUCGUCCUUACCUGGCAGGCACAUAAGAGAUGAGCCUCGCCUCCUUGCCUGCUGCGAGCAGCCGCCCAACGCUCACAGCUUCCGUUUCGUCCAGGGGUCGGGCGGCCGUGGCCUUGGCAGAAUCCGGCACUGCCGGUUACCCUACCAGGAUUCGGGCCAAAAGGCAGUGUCCCGGAGCUCAACAGGGGCCGUCUGGCAGCAGGAGGUGACCAUGGCCCUCCUGCUUGGCCGUGGGGUCCACAGACUGCCCCACGUGCACCUCCUGUGCCCCUGAGACCCUGCUGUACGUCUAGACCCCUCGCCCAGAAGAGCAGGCGAACGUUCCUGCCUGUGCAGCGGUAUGUUCUUGGGAUUCUUUGAACCCUUUUGACAAAUCAAGAUGUUUAUUUUUUAUUUUUAUGGCAAACUCUAACACUUCUCUUUUGACCUGAUAUUUUGCAAAUUGAAAGGUGUCUCAGGGUUGGUUGCUAGGGAAACAGGUGAAGGUUUGGGCAGGAGGCCAACAGGGAGGCUGAGUGGCUGUGUGGUGUCCCCGAAGCGUGCAGAGACCCUCACACAGAACGUGGUGGCAUCUUUGCCGAGAGGGCAGCCGCUCCUGCGGUCUGUCUGCUCCUGAGUUUAUGGUCAGCGGCUUCCCUGAGGAGCCAAAGGGCUAACUCGGCCUGGUCCCGAUGGUAUGGGCUUUGCGUGGACCAGCACAGCGUCUGCUGCUCUGCUCAGGGAACCUCAAAACCCAAGGUGUCCUGGGGCACCUGGGGGGCUCAGUCGGUGAAGCGUCCGACUUCGGCUCCGGUCAUGAUCUCACGGUUCGUGGGUUCGAGCCCUGCGUCGGGUUCUGUGCUGACAGCUUGGAGCCUGGAGCCUGCCUCAGAUUCUGUGUCUCCCUCCGUCUCUGCUCUUCCCCUGCUCGCACUGUC